RNAcentral lists this ribosomal RNA (431 nucleotides) under uncultured bacterium. RNAcentral's name for it is "partial 16S ribosomal RNA". It matches the Rfam family "Bacterial small subunit ribosomal RNA", at positions 29 to 507 of the family's 1533-position model. The record is from RNAcentral.
AACGAACGCUGGCGGCAGGCUUAACACAUGCCAGUCGAACGCCCCGCAAGGGGAGUGGCAGACGGGUGAGUACCGCGUGGGAACAUACCCUUUUCUACGGAAUAGCUCUGGGAAACUGGAAUUAAUACCGUAUACGCCCUACGGGGGAAAGAUUUAUCGGGGAAGGAUUGGCCCGCGUUGGAUUAGCUAGUUGGUGGGGUAAAGGCCUACCAAGGCGACGAUCCAUAGCUGGUCUGAGAGGAUGAUCAGCCACAUUGGGACUGAGACACGGCCCAAACUCCUACGGGAGGCAGCAGUGGGGAAUAUUGGACAAUGGGCGCAAGCCUGAUCCAGCCAUGCCGCGUGAGUGAUGAAGGCCUUAGGGUUGUAAAGCUCUUUCACCGAUGAAGAUAAUGACGGUAGUCGGAGAAGAAGCCCCGGCUAACUUCGUG